Molecule: non-coding RNA, 232 nt
Filed under: Thermoanaerobacterales bacterium
Lineage: Bacteria; Bacillati; Bacillota; Clostridia; Thermoanaerobacterales
Description: T-box sequence
Rfam family: T-box leader
About the family: Uncharged tRNA acts as the effector for transcription antitermination of genes in the T-box leader family. T-boxes are found upstream of many aminoacyl-tRNA synthetase genes and some amino acid biosynthetic genes usually in Gram-positive bacteria.
Source: RNAcentral
GCAAAGGCGAUGCUGGGGAUAAGUACACUUGGACUGCACCUCCAGAGAGUUGGCGGAUGGUGCGAGCCAAUGGGCGGUUCAAGUGGAAUCCACCCCUAAGGCAGGCCUCGAAAACCGGUACCUUCCGGGGUAAGGGGCACGGGUGGCCGCCGUUAAGGGCCAGAGAGUGGGUUCCACAGAGUGUGUGGGACCAAGAUGGGUGGCAACGCGGGAACUUCCUCUCGUCCCAUUA